AACCUAGCACACCUGCGGUGUGUACCUGCGGAGGGAUCAUUAACGAAUUACUAGGGGUUGUGCUGGUUUUACAAGUGCACACCUCUUAUAUUCUAUUCACACCCACUGUGCACUUUAAGAGACGUAUUUCCCCCGUUUACGUGCCUUUAUUGGCUUGGGAUUUCGUCUGUUUCAUACACUCUUAUUGUAUUAGAAUGUAAUCAGCGGAAACGCUAAAACAUAAUAUAACUUUUAACAACG
Molecule: unclassified non-coding RNA, 240 nt
Filed under: soil metagenome
Description: partial contains 5.8S ribosomal RNA, internal transcribed spacer 2, and large subunit ribosomal RNA
Source: RNAcentral